ACAAUGUAUACAAAUUUGGGAAGCCCUGUGCCCUCUGGUGUCAUAUAUUGCUAUCAAUACGUGCGUAAACUUCCAUCCGUUCAUCGAUCCGUCGACACUUACCCUAGUCGUCAGUGUAGUUGAUUAUAUUCUUUGUGUCGUACCCAUUCCGUCGUUUUCGAUUUACGAAGUUCUAUCGUCACUACGAAUAACGUAAGUAAACGCCUAUAUUUAUUGUUAUGUUCCAGCUGUAUUAACCUUCUAACGUAAUCACACAAGUAUUUUCGAACGAGAAUACUCAUAUCGUAAAUAAUUUCUUUACUUUAAUCUCCUGGAAUUCAUCUAUUCCUAUAUAUUACUUACUACAAUUGACUAUCUACUAAAACAAGAAUAAUCAUAUUGGUACGCACCUAAAUGUUCAUUACCUAUCCACCGUAGGUUAAUAAUAUUCUAAUGUAAUAGAGUAAUCAUAAUACGUGAGUUAAUAGGUAUCCAUAUUUUUCCUAUACUUACAUGCAAAUUCAUAUGUUAUCAGAGUGUAUGUUUUUAGUAUAAUAUAAUAUUUAUUAAAAAUGAUUCUCAUUCUUCAAGAUUUAUUAUUAAUUAUUCUUCAAAGUUAAACUUAAUAUCCUUAAUAGUCUCAAAAUUAUAUUGAAGAUGCGAACAUAUACUAGUGAUUUGUGUUUUUAUUGCUUGAUGCUUGCCGUUCACUUUAGAUUUAAAAUAUAAUAAUUUCGUGUCCGAGUAUUUCUUAUGGUCCAAAUAAUUUAAGAACAUGGACCGAACCGUGAUAAGGUUUGGUUUGGAACAGUUGUAUACAAAUUUGAGAAGCCCUGGGGCCUCUGGUAUCAAAUAUUGCUAUCCAUACGUGCGUAUACUUCCAUCCGUUCAUCGAUCCGUCGACACUUACCCUAGUCGUCAGUGUAGUUGAUUAUAUUCUUUGUGUCGUACCCAUUCCGCCGUUGUCGUUUUACGAAGUUCUAUCGUCACUACGAAUAACGUAAGUAAACGCCUAUAUUUAUUGUUAUGUUCCAGCUGUAUUAACCUUCUAACGUAAUCACACAAGUAUUUUCGAACGAGAAUACUCAUAUCGUAAAUAAUUUCUUUACUUUAAUCUCCUGGAAUUCAUCUAUUCCUAUAUAUUACUUACUACAAUUGAUAAUCUGCUAAAACAAGAAUAAUCUUAUUGGUACGCACCUAAAUGUUCAUAACCUAUCCACCGUAGUUUAAAAAUAUUCUAAUGUAAUAGAGUAAUCAUAAUACGUGAGUUAAUAGGUAUCCAUAUUUUUCCUAUACUUACAUGCAAAUUCAUAUGUUAUCAGAGUGUCCCGUGUAUUUCUUAUAACCUAAAAAUUCUAUGACUAUGCACUGAUCCUUGAUAAGGUUUGAUUUGGAACAUUUGUCACUAUCAGUACUCCAUGACGUAUCACUAAAAUCGUCUAUAUCGUGGUUGCUGUCGGUAUUGUUUUGUUUAUGUUACCAGUAACCAAUAUUUCAAUUUACAUCCGUUCAUCGAUCGGUUGAUUCUUAUGGAAGUUGCUAGUGUUAGUGACUAGUUGCAACUGCUAUCCGUUAUUGUGUUUGUCUUUAUUGUUUUAUGGUGUAUUUCGCAGCGUUCCAUAAUUCAAUCGUCACCGCUAUUAACGUAAGUAAAAUCCUAUCGGUACUCGUGUUAAUUUCCAUCCGUUCCUCGAUUCCGUGUCGACUUUUACUCUUGCGAUUAGUGUAUUUUUU
Molecule: long non-coding RNA, 1713 nt
Filed under: Cinara cedri
Lineage: Eukaryota; Metazoa; Arthropoda; Insecta; Hemiptera; Aphididae
Source: RNAcentral